UACAGAGGUCUCAAGCGUUGUUCGGAUUCAUUGGGCGUACAGGGUGCGUAGGCGGCGCGGUAAGUCGGGUGUGAAAUCUCGGAGCUUAACUCCGAAACUGCAUUCGAUACUGCCGUGCUUGAGGACUGGAGAGGAGACUGGAAUUUACGGUGUAGCGGUGAAAUGCGUAGAUAUCGUAAGGAAGACCAGUGGCGAAGGCGGGUCUCUGGACAGUUCCUGACGCUGAAGCACGAAGGCCAGGGGAGCAAACGGG
RNAcentral lists this ribosomal RNA (253 nucleotides) under uncultured bacterium. RNAcentral's name for it is "partial 16S ribosomal RNA". It matches the Rfam family "Bacterial small subunit ribosomal RNA", at positions 524 to 776 of the family's 1533-position model. The record is from RNAcentral.